CCCAGCUUUAGGCAGCUGCCUAGGUUGCCUUGUACCUGGGCAAGUGUGACACUGCUGGGAGAACAGCACCAGUAAGUAGCUGGUUGGCUUUCUGGGCCUGGUUCAUGCCAACUCUGUUGUUUAACUAUCCCAGAUGCCAGCACCGUUGGAAAAAAG
This 156-nucleotide small nucleolar RNA is filed under the name Pteropus vampyrus (large flying fox). Its description in RNAcentral is "Small nucleolar RNA SNORA74 (ENSPVAG00000028861.1)". Lineage: Eukaryota; Metazoa; Chordata; Mammalia; Chiroptera; Pteropodidae. The record is from RNAcentral.